GAUGAACGCUAGCGACAGGCUUAACACAUGCAAGUCGAGGGGCAGCACAGGGUAGCAAUACUUGGGUGGCGACCGGCGCACGGGUGAGUAACGCGUAUGCAACUUACCUAUCAGAGGGGGAUAGCCCGGCGAAAGUCGGAUUAAUACCCCAUGAAACAGGGGUCCCGCAUGGGAAUAUUUGUUAAAGAUUCAUCGCUGAUAGAUAGGCAUGCGUUCCAUUAGGCAGUUGGCGGGGUAACGGCCCACCAAACCGACGAUGGAUAGGGGUUCUGAGAGGAAGGUCCCCCACAUUGGUACUGAGACACGGACCAAACUCCUACGGGAGGCAGCAGUGAGGAAUAUUGGUCAAUGGCCGAGAGGCUGAACCAGCCAAGUCGCGUGAAGGAAGAAGGAUCUAUGGUUUGUAAACUUCUUUUAUAGGGGAAUAAAGUGGAGGACGUGUCCUUUUUUGUAUGUACCCUAUGAAUAAGCAUCGGCUAACUCCGUGC
Molecule: ribosomal RNA, 488 nt
Filed under: uncultured bacterium
Lineage: Bacteria
Description: bacterial SSU rRNA
Rfam family: Bacterial small subunit ribosomal RNA
Source: RNAcentral